GAGCAGCUCUCAGUUUUGCCUUCACUGCUAAUGGAUGAGUUAAAUGUUAUGAGUCUCAAUUUGUAAAGUCAUAUUAUUUGUGGAGAGGCCAUCCAUCAGAGAAUCUUGGAUAAUGGACGAAAGCUCGAUCCAGCCAUAUUGCUUGAGUGAAGAAGGGCAAUACCGUUGCAGAAAAACUUCCCCAUUGAUAAUAGUUAUGGCCAUAAAAAUAUUGGCGGGCAGAAGCAAUUUGGCUUUAUCUGUGUAUAAUUGAAUGAUAAAAUCUAUUGUGUAUUGUCUCAUGCUGUGUCUUUUUAACCUGCCAAUUGAUUUAUAUCACCAUCCUUGUACACUAAAGAUGAAAGAUACGAUGCUUCACUGAG
RNAcentral lists this long non-coding RNA (362 nucleotides) under Capsicum annuum. RNAcentral describes it as "long non-coding RNA (CANN_LNC002615)". The record is from RNAcentral. Lineage: Eukaryota; Viridiplantae; Streptophyta; Magnoliopsida; Solanales; Solanaceae.